RNAcentral lists this ribosomal RNA (274 nucleotides) under uncultured bacterium. RNAcentral's name for it is "partial 16S ribosomal RNA". It matches the Rfam family "Bacterial small subunit ribosomal RNA", at positions 523 to 796 of the family's 1533-position model. The record is from RNAcentral.
AUACGGAGGGUGCAAGCGUUAAUCGGAAUUACUGGGCGUAAAGCGUACGUAGGCGGUUAUUUAAGUCAGAUGUGAAAGCCCCGGGCUUAACGUGGGAACUGCAUUUGAAACUGGGUAACUAGAGUUUAGUAGAGGGGAGUGGAAUUUCAGGUGUAGCGGUGAAAUGCGUAGAGAUCGGAAGGAACACCAGUGGCGAAGGCGACUCCCUGGACUAAAACUGACGCUCAGGUACGAAAGCGUGGGUAGCAAACAGGAUUAGAAACCCUAGUAGUCC